UACGUAGGGUGCAAGCGUUGUCCGGAAUCAUUGGGCGUAAAGCGCGCGUAGGUGGUCAUGUAAGUCCGCUGUGAAAGUCAAAGGCUCAACCUUUGAAAGCCGAUGGAUACUGCAUGACUAGAGUACGGAAGAGGCGAGUGGAAUUCCGGGUGUAGCGGUGGAAUGCGUAGAGAUCCAGAAGAACACCGGUGGCGAAGGCGGCCUGCUGGGCAGUAGCUGACGCUGAGGCGCGACAGCGUGGGGAGCAAACAGG
This 253-nucleotide ribosomal RNA is filed under the name uncultured bacterium. RNAcentral describes it as "partial 16S ribosomal RNA". It matches the Rfam family "Bacterial small subunit ribosomal RNA", at positions 524 to 776 of the family's 1533-position model. The record is from RNAcentral.